RNAcentral lists this ribosomal RNA (230 nucleotides) under uncultured bacterium. RNAcentral describes it as "partial 16S ribosomal RNA". It matches the Rfam family "Bacterial small subunit ribosomal RNA", at positions 118 to 346 of the family's 1533-position model. The record is from RNAcentral.
UGAGCAAUCUGCCCUUCACAUCGGAAUAACCAUUGGAAACGAUGGCUAAUACCGAAUAUGACUUCGGAUCGCAUGAUCUGAAGUGGAAAGCUCCGGCGGUGAAGGAUGAGCUCGCGGCCUAUCAGCUUGUUGGUGGGGUGAUGGCCUACCAAGGCAACGGACGGGUAGCCGGCCUGAGAGGGUGACCGGCCACACGUGGGACUGAGACACGGCCCAGACUCCGUACGGGG